CGCGGGUCAAGGGACCGAACGGCGCCGUUUUGGCACUGGUACCCUUGUCUCAAAACGACGUCGUAUCAUUGCACUAUUUAAACCAAGUUUUUGCUUAAAAAAUCAUUUGUAUCAACCAAAAUAAAAUAAAAUAAAAAUAAAAAAGCUUCAACUCUCUACUAGGGUUUUAACCCUAGCUUUCGCGCCGCUCGGAGGCUCCAUCAGUCCUCGCCCCCACCGUCCUCGCUCGAGCUCCGAUCACGAUGAAGUGAACGAGGACUUAUUCAGCGCCAACGUGUAGGUAAAUCCCACCCCC
Molecule: long non-coding RNA, 295 nt
Filed under: Gossypium raimondii (Peruvian cotton)
Lineage: Eukaryota; Viridiplantae; Streptophyta; Magnoliopsida; Malvales; Malvaceae
Description: long non-coding RNA (GRAI_LNC004079)
Source: RNAcentral